UACGGAGGAUCCAAGCGUUAUCCGGAAUCAUUGGGUUUAAAGGGUGCGUAGGCGGAUGAUUAAGUCAGUGGUGAAAGUCUGCAGCUCAACUGUAGAACUGCCAUUGAAACUGUUGUCCUUGAGUAAUUAUGAAGUGGUUAGAAUAUGUAGUGUAGCGGUGAAAUGCAUAGAUAUUACAUAGAAUACCGAUUGCGAAGGCAGAUCACUAAUAAGUUACUGACGCUGAUGGACGAAAGCGUAGGUAGCGAACAGG
Molecule: unclassified non-coding RNA, 253 nt
Filed under: uncultured Flavobacteriaceae bacterium
Lineage: Bacteria; Pseudomonadati; Bacteroidota; Flavobacteriia; Flavobacteriales; Flavobacteriaceae
Description: contains 16S-23S intergenic spacer region
Rfam family: Bacterial small subunit ribosomal RNA
Source: RNAcentral